GACGAACGCUGGCGGCGUGCCUAAUACAUGCCAGUCGAACGCUGAAGGAGGAGCUUGCUUCUCUGGAUGAGUUGCGAACGGGUGAGUAACGCGUAGGUAACCUGCCUUGUAGCGGGGGAUAACUAUUGGAAACGAUAGCUAAUACCGCAUAAGAGUAGAUGUCGCAUGACAUUUGCUUAAAAGGUGCAAUUGCAUCACUACCAGAUGGACCUGCGUUGUAUUAGCUAGUUGGUGAGGUAACGGCUCACCAAGGCAACGAUACAUAGCCGACCUGAGAGGGGGAACGGCCACACUGGGACUGAGACACGGCCCAGACUCCUACGGGAGGCAGCAGUAGGGAAACUUCGGACAUGGACGGAAGUCUGAACGCGCAACGCCGCGUGAGUGAAGAAGGUUUUCGGAUCGUAAAGCUCUGUUGUAAGAGAAGAAAGAGCGUGAGAGUGGAACGUUCACACUGUGACGGUAUCUUAACAGAAAGGGACGGCUAACUACGUG
Molecule: ribosomal RNA, 495 nt
Filed under: uncultured bacterium
Lineage: Bacteria
Description: partial 16S ribosomal RNA
Rfam family: Bacterial small subunit ribosomal RNA
Source: RNAcentral